This is a long non-coding RNA of Mus musculus (house mouse), 4412 nucleotides long. RefSeq annotates it as predicted gene, 40889. The record is from RefSeq and is a predicted model, not a curated record. Lineage: Eukaryota; Metazoa; Chordata; Mammalia; Rodentia; Muridae. The transcript has 2 exons.
GGCUGGAAUUAAAGGCAUGUGCCACCAAUACCUGGCAGGUACUUUCUUUUUAAUUUGCAAAUUUAGGAUUACAUAUGAUUUUUGAAAAGGAUGAAUUGGAUAGUUGUUUGAAAGUUGAGAUCUUCUACUUUCCCAAGUCCUCAGUUUUUCUUCUUUGUUUGGAAGCAGGAACUAUUCCCUUCAUCAUUCUCGGGUCACCCUUCCCCACCAGACAUGCAAAAUAAGACCAGAUUUGUUAGCAAGCUAAGCUGCAUGGUCUUCUUUCUUCUAAUUUCGUUUCCUUGACUUGCAGAAUCUGCAUAUCGGUCUAUGAAAUGCCUUUUUACUGGGCUGGAAGUAUCAUAUGCUUCCACCAAAUAUGGGAAUUGGAAAUAAUUGAGACUUGUGAACCUGGAAGAAAUACAGCACAGGUUAUAUCUCAUUGUAAUGACUACUGACUUGUUUGGGUGACUUUGAGACACCAAUUAUUGUGACUUGAUUUUUGGUCUUGUACAGUGGAAAAUUAUCAAAGCUUGUUAAUAGCUCACAUGUGGCUGUCAUAGUAUGACUAAUUGAACCCUGUGUAUUUGGUGGGUGAAAAUUCCAAAGGAGUCAGUUGAGAGUUGCUGCAUGGAGGAUACUCAUUGCAUUCAUGUUUAUUGGGAUGCUGUGUCCAGCAAUAUGCUGGAACUGAAGUGGCACAGAGGAGCCAUUAAUCUUUCGAAAAUUAUGUUUUUAGUGAAGACAGGUAAAACCAAAGAGGCAAAUAAUUGAAAUAAUUACAGGUUAUUAUAAAUGGUAUAAGCACAUAAAAUAAAGACUAAUUGAUGAGAUGGAGUUUCAUAUUAAAUGGGAUUAUAAAUAUACUUUUUAAUGCUGGAUAGAAUAUCUAAAAAUUCUGAGCAGGCCAGAGUUGAGUGAUGUGUGUGUGUGUGUGUGUGUGUGUGUGUGUGUGUGUGUGUGUGUGUGAGUGUGUGUUUAGGUAGGUGGGAGAGAGUGGCAGGAAGAAUGAAAGGAGUUUGAUUGGUUUUUAAUGAAUUAUGUGGCUAAGGAACCUGGCAAGUUCUAUGUCUUCAGGGUGGGCUGCUUGACUGGAAACCAAGGAAAGACUCAGUGUUAUAGUCUUGCCAGAAGGCUGUCGACUGGUAGAGAUCUUUCUUCUCCAAGCCUUUGCUAAAUUCAAGACUUGAAUUGUUCAGCUAUGGCUUACCCACAGCAGAAGACAAUCUGCUUCACAUUAAGUCCAUCACUUUGUAUAUCAGUCUCACACAAAGAGUACCCUUAACAAACACCUGCAAUGAUCUUUGACCAAUAUUUUAGCACAGUGGUCCAGUUAACUUGACAUACACAAUUAACCUUCACAAGAACUUACCUUCUGCGGUUCUGUUCUUAUUUCCUCCAGUGAAUUUGUCAGAGAGAGGUUGUGAAAAGGUUGCCACUAAAAACCUUUAUUAGAAAAAUGUUCAGUCAUACAGGAAAGUAGAGAGAGAAUGGUACACAGACCCAUGUGCCUGUCACCCACUGCUCACUCUCAGUAACAGUGAUGAUUCAUUUCUGAAUUAUACCCUCUGUCUCAAGUUCUUUCUCUCACUUUCCCCAAGAGGCGAUGCUCCCUUAAAUUCCUCAUUCCUUAUUUCUCCUUUCUUGUAACUUAGAAAGCAGGCUGUACUCAUCCAGGCCGUGAACUGGAUUGUGUGUGUGUGAACACAUUUAUGUGUGUGCGCGUGCGUGUGUGUGUGUGUGUGUGUGUGUGUGUGUGUGUGAACAGGCACACAUGUACAUCUCCAUGUAUGUAGGCAUGUGGGUGUGCGUUCAUUUGCACCUAUAUGUGUAUAGGUGGUGCGUGUCUGUGCAUAUGUGUGUAGUUCAGAGGACAGCCUAACUUUCAGAAGUCAGUUCUCUCCUUCCUACAUGUGGGUCCUAGGGACUGAACCGAGGCCUUCAGGUGCCUCUACCAGCUGAGCCCUCUUGCCUGUCCUUACCUUGACUCUUUUCUAGAAAGAUCUUCAUCUCCAUUUGGGGUUUGUUGUUGUUACUUAAUUACGAAUAUUAAAGAAAAUCCCUAAAGGCACACACAACUGUGACAAACAUAGAAGCCUUAUGAUUAGUUAGCCAGAUUUGAACUACUUGAUAUUUACUUUCUCCAAAUGAAAAUAAAAAGCUAGCUAGCUGGGGGGGCCGAUUGCUCAUGAUGUAUGCUCUUUGGAAUGAGUCCUUUCAGCAGGGAGUGCUUGUUUUAGGUUAUGUAAAGAACGUCUUUGAUCUUUCUAAGUCACUUUGUUACACUCUGUUCCCUAGACAGUAACACUCAUGACAGCUGGACUUCACGCCUCGUUGUUCUAGGUCAGAAACCUUCACAAUGCUUGUAGAUCGUACUUUUCCUAUACUUUGCCUUUGAGGUUAAAUUCCUAACUCAUAUUAGUUCCACUUAGAAUUUUCCCAUGGAAGCUGGACCUGCUUCAACAGUAUAUAUCCUCUGUGAGAUUUUGUUCAGAGUGAAGGCUGACAGGAAGUACCCUUCUCAUGUGACACAGGGAUUUCUGGUCAUUACCUGCUUCUUUGCAGGACGCAGGGAACACUACAGUUCUGUUUGGAACGAGGGGCUAAUAGUUAGCUUGUAGAUUCUCCUUCCUCCCAGGAAGUGGGCACGAGGCCUGAUUGAGUGUGAGUCGGACCAUGUGAAUGGAAGAUCAGAGAACUGUUUGAUGCCUUUAGCAAGCCAUAACUCUGUGACGUUUUUGUGAGAAACUGGAAGACUUGAAAGAGGAAGAGAGGGAAAAGGCAACUGGCAGGCAUUGUGGGAGUAAAAUAGAACUAUAGCUAGCAUUUUAUUUUAACUGAAUAGAUGUAAUGAUUGUGUGUGUGUAUGUGCAUAUGUACAUGUAUGUAUACUUGUUUUAACUGAAUUGAUGCAGUGUUUGUAUGUGUCUAUGUGUAUAUAUACAUGUAUAUGAUGUAUAUUUAUAACGUAGUAUAUGUGUAUAUUGAUAUGAGGCCAUAUGUAUAGUUACUUAAGAGACAUUUGGCCCUAAUAUCAUACUCAGAAAACAGUGCUUCUCAGUUCUCAUGUGGAAUUCUCUGCUAGUGGCAUGGAGAAUGUAAAAGCAGUCUUUAAAUGUUCUUUGGGGCCACCUUGUCUAAGCAGACCCGAGAGACAUUGUGUACCCCCUGCCUAGCCUACUUCUGUUUGUAACCACAAAGAUCCCAUUAAGGCUGCUGAUUCUGAUGGGAUCUCAGGGGAAUCUGAUUAUUAAUGCUUGCCAGACACAAAAGCAUUGACAUUGUCAUGUUAUUAGCGUCACUAUCCUAAGAGCCCAGGCAUCAAGGACGCCAGGAAACCUAAUCUUCAUAACUGCUAAUGAAGGAGAUAAAAUGUGUAGCAAUAGUCAUUUCAGUAAUGACCGAUUUUACUAUCUGCUUGGGUUGAAAGCUCGAAUAAACAACUGAGAGGAAACGAUGGGAAAAACACCAAAUAGUGGUUAGCAUUGAUUUAGUUUGAGAGUUUCAGUUGAUACCCUCAUUCAGAGACAUGAGGGGGUCCAGGAUGGAUGAGACUGUAGAACUGUGCCCUUUGACCUUGUAGAACAUAUAUUCAAUGGGUUAGCAAUUGUGAUGGAAUAGAUUUCUGCUUAUGCAUGAAAAUUUCAUUAGAUGAAAGAUUCAUGUUUCCCUCAUUGCAAACCUAAUGGAAGGAGGUUAAAACCUGUUGUAUAAUUGUUGGUCAUAGAGUGUCUUUCAGACGCAGACCAACAUCUGUGUUGUCUAUAUCAGUGACAAUGGGAACGGGGCUCACUGAGACUCUAGGCACAAUAUGAACAUCAUCUUCAGAAAACAGCUUGUUCAGCCAACAGUUUGAAAAUAGUGUAAAAUAAAAAAAACUUAUUUGUAGUUUUGAUGGCUUCUUGAUUAAACAAAUCUGAUUCAUGAAGGAUGUUCUGAAUACAGUUCAUUUUGAUCCAAAACUUAUUUCUUGACUAGUUGCUAUCAUUAACUCUAUUUGGCAAGUUCCAGAAAUUUUAAUAAGUUAAUUUAUCUGUAUCAUAGAUAUAUUUGACCCAAAUGAUGUGUUGGGUAUCAACAGCAAUAACAAACCGAAAGAAUGGGGCAGCAGGAAGCUUCCCCAAAUUCCGUAGGGAUGCUAUGUUCAUGGACUAUCAGGCUGGCUGCUGUGCUUCUACUACUUUGGGGAAGAAAUGAGACCCUCCAUACAAGUCAUCACUGCUUAUAGAUCUAGGAAUGGCACUUAGUACCUCAUCUGUUUAGGGAUACUUAGCAUUGUUUCUUGUUUUAAAAUUACUUAUUAUGGUGCAGGUGAUAGAACCCAGCAUGCACAGGGAUGCAUCCCACACUCUACCUGAUACCUUGAGGAAUAUCCCCCAUCCUUUCCUAAACCUUUCAUAAAAAAAAAAAAACAAAAAAAACAAAAACCCAAA